Molecule: ribosomal RNA, 861 nt
Filed under: Bacillus tequilensis
Lineage: Bacteria; Bacillati; Bacillota; Bacilli; Caryophanales; Bacillaceae
Description: bacterial SSU rRNA
Rfam family: Bacterial small subunit ribosomal RNA
Source: RNAcentral
GAUGGGAGCUUGCUCCCUGAUGUUAGCGGCGGACGGGUGAGUAACACGUGGGUAACCUGCCUGUAAGACUGGGAUAACUCCGGGAAACCGGGGCUAAUACCGGAUGGUUGUUUGAACCGCAUGGUUCAAACAUAAAAGGUGGCUUCGGCUACCACUUACAGAUGGACCCGCGGCGCAUUAGCUAGUUGGUGAGGUAACGGCUCACCAAGGCAACGAUGCGUAGCCGACCUGAGAGGGUGAUCGGCCACACUGGGACUGAGACACGGCCCAGACUCCUACGGGAGGCAGCAGUAGGGAAUCUUCCGCAAUGGACGAAAGUCUGACGGAGCAACGCCGCGUGAGUGAUGAAGGUUUUCGGAUCGUAAAGCUCUGUUGUUAGGGAAGAACAAGUACCGUUCGAAUAGGGCGGUACCUUGACGGUACCUAACCAGAAAGCCACGGCUAACUACGUGCCAGCAGCCGCGGUAAUACGUAGGUGGCAAGCGUUGUCCGGAAUUAUUGGGCGUAAAGGGCUCGCAGGCGGUUUCUUAAGUCUGAUGUGAAAGCCCCCGGCUCAACCGGGGAGGGUCAUUGGAAACUGGGGAACUUGAGUGCAGAAGAGGAGAGUGGAAUUCCACGUGUAGCGGUGAAAUGCGUAGAGAUGUGGAGGAACACCAGUGGCGAAGGCGACUCUCUGGUCUGUAACUGACGCUGAGGAGCGAAAGCGUGGGGAGCGAACAGGAUUAGAUACCCUGGUAGUCCACGCCGUAAACGAUGAGUGCUAAGUGUUAGGGGGUUUCCGCCCCUUAGUGCUGCAGCUAACGCAUUAAGCACUCCGCCUGGGGAGUACGGUCGCAAGACUGAAACUCAAAGGAAUUGACG